AAGAAAUUAGUUAAAAAAUAACAUUAGAAUGUCAAACUGAAAUUAUUAAUAAUUAAUAUUUCUUA
This 65-nucleotide transfer RNA is filed under the name Hygrotus inaequalis. Its description in RNAcentral is "tRNA-Asp". Lineage: Eukaryota; Metazoa; Arthropoda; Insecta; Coleoptera; Dytiscidae. The record is from RNAcentral.